This 1335-nucleotide long non-coding RNA is filed under the name Piliocolobus tephrosceles (Ugandan red Colobus). Its description in RNAcentral is "lncRNA (ENSPTEG00000009146.1)". The record is from RNAcentral. Lineage: Eukaryota; Metazoa; Chordata; Mammalia; Primates; Cercopithecidae.
UAUGCUUUUAAUUUUAAUAAUGCUUUUUUUAUUAAAUUGGGUAAUUAUUUCACAGAACAUAUAGAUUUUAAAAAUAGCCAAACAAGUGAUAACAUAUGCGACGACAUUAGCAACAACAUGAGCGACACCAUGACCGACCAAGCUGUAGAACACGCAAACUCUCACUAUUCAAAAGAAAACAAUGUAACAAUAAAUAAUAAUCCAUAUACAAUACCUAAAAGUAAAAAUGUAUUUUUUUUUCAUAAAAAUUAUGAACAUUACAUAAAUUACAUAAUUAAUCAUAAAAAAUUAGAACAUUUACCUAUAUUAUAUUCUAGUCCUUCUUUUUUUCUUUUUAAUAACACAAAUUUUGAAAACAUAAUAUGUUUCAGAAAACACAUGAUUCAUGAAAUUAUUAACUUAUAUAAAACAGAUGAGAAUCAAAAUGACUUUUUUUCUAUAGACCUCAAUACCAUAAACCAAAUUUUAUUUACUAAUAAUAAAUAUUAUUUACAAAUUGAAAAACAUUUAUACGAUAAUAAUAUUAUGAACAAAAAUGGGCAGGAAUAUUUUUUUCAAAAUGGAAAGUAUAAUUUGGCUGAGCUGAACGACUUGUAUCUUUUUGUUUUACUUACUAAACAAACAUGUGAUAUGUCAAAUAUGGAUGAUAUAAAAUAUGAUAUAAACGUUACUUCCACUACUGCUGCUACUCCCAUUACCAACAACAACAACAAUCAUAACGAUAUGCCUUUUAAAACCGAUAAAAACCAUAUCACACAUACAAGUGACAACCUUCAACACAUCUUCAACUCAGCUAUUUAUAACUCUUCCAUAUUUAAAGAAUUUGAUAAUUUUUUUAAUUAUGAUUUUUUAAUGCAUAUAUAUUCUUAUGUGUCUUCUCACGCUAUCAAAAUGAAAACGAAUUCGCAAAAUCGCGUAAGUGAAAGAAAUCAAGAAAAAAAUGAGCCAGAGCAAACACAAGAACCUGCGCAAACACAAGCAGGCAAUUACAACCUAAAAGACAAAAUCAUAAACAGUAACAUAAAAAUAAAAAAUGAAAAAGAACGAAUCGAAAAAGUUAGCACAAAAGAAUGUUCAAAUUACAACUUUGAUGAAUAUGAAAAAAAAGAAAAAGAAAAUGAAAAUAAUUGUAUGUGCUUAAUACCGUUGUUAGAUAUAUGUAAUCAUAGUAAUAAUAACAUGAAUGCUUUUAUUAAAAAAAAAAAAAAAAGAAAAAGAAUUUAAACAAUAUAAACAAACUCGUGUAAACAUUAGUGUGCACAAUACUUCUAAUGGCGAUUAUAAUGAUACGCUUGAGUCGUUUGUUCAAACUGUAGAUAGUGUUCAACUAAUUAG